RNAcentral lists this transfer RNA (70 nucleotides) under Clostridioides difficile. Its description in RNAcentral is "tRNA-Gly". It matches the Rfam family "tRNA". From Rfam's summary of the family: Transfer RNA (tRNA) molecules are approximately 80 nucleotides in length. Their secondary structure includes four short double-helical elements and three loops (D, anti-codon, and T loops). Lineage: Bacteria; Bacillati; Bacillota; Clostridia; Peptostreptococcales; Peptostreptococcaceae. The record is from RNAcentral. RNAcentral also lists the same sequence under 2 other names.
GUGUAGCUCAAUGGUAGAGUUCUGGCCUUCCAAGCCAGCUGUGAGGGUUCGAUCCCCUUCACCCGCUCCA